RNAcentral lists this unclassified non-coding RNA (418 nucleotides) under soil metagenome. RNAcentral describes it as "partial contains 5.8S ribosomal RNA, internal transcribed spacer 2, and large subunit ribosomal RNA". The stretch from base 1 to 120 matches the Rfam family "5.8S ribosomal RNA", at positions 35 to 154 of the family's 154-position model. The record is from RNAcentral.
GAUGAAGAACGCAGCGAAAUGCGAUAAGUAAUGUGAAUUGCAGAUUUCAGUGAAUCAUCGAAUCUUUGAACGCACCUUGCGCCUUGUGGUAUUCCACAAGGCAUGCCCGUUUGAGUAUCAUUAAAUCAUCAACUCUAAAACCUUUGUGGUUUUUUUAGAGCUUGGUCUUGAGGGUUUUGCAGGCUUUUUUUCGAGUCUACUCCCUUUAAAUGCAUUAGCGAGACUUCCCUAUGCUGAACCGUCUCUUUGACGUGAUAAUUAUCUGCGUCGAAUUUUGGUUCUCGUUGGGCUUGCUUCUAAUCGUCUGUUAAAGACAAAACGGACUUGGGUGCAUAUAUGCGCCUUUUUCCAAAACCUUUUUUGAUCUCAAAUCGGGUAGGACUACCCGCUGAACUUAAGCAUAUCAAUAAGCGGAGGA